CCUGGCUUAGGAUGAACGCUAGCGACAGGCCUAACACAUGCAAGUCAGGGGCAGCACAAGGAGCAAUCUGAGGUGGCGACCGGCGGCACGGGUGAGUAACACGUAUGCAACCUGCCUGUAAGCGGGGAAUAACCCGUUGAAAGACGGACUAAUACCGCAUAAUACUAAAUUACUGCAUGGUAAUUUAUUUAAACAUUUAUGGCUUACAGAUGGGCAUGCGCAUGAUUAGCUAGUUGGAGAGGUAACGGCUCCCCAAGGCAACGAUCAUUAGGGGUUCUGAGAGGAAGGUCCCCCACACUGGUACUGAGACACGGACCAGACUCCUACGGGAGGCAGCAGUGAGGAAUAUUGGUCAAUGGACGAGAGUCUGAACCAGCCAAGUCGCGUGCAGGAAGAAUGUCCCUAUGGAUUGUAAACUGCUUUUGCAGGGGAAUAAAGUGCAUCACGUGUGAUGUUUUGUAUGUACUCUGCGAAUAAGGAUCGGCUAACUCCGUGCCAGCAGCCGC
This 506-nucleotide ribosomal RNA is filed under the name uncultured bacterium. RNAcentral's name for it is "bacterial SSU rRNA". It matches the Rfam family "Bacterial small subunit ribosomal RNA", at positions 18 to 518 of the family's 1533-position model. The record is from RNAcentral.